AACGAACGCUGGCGGCAUGCCUAACACAUGCAAGUCGAACGAGACCUUCGAGUCUAGUGGCGCACGGGUGCGUAACGCGUGGGAACCUGCACUUAGGUUCGGAAUAACUCCCCGAAAGGGGUGCUAAUACCGGAUAAUGUCUUCGGACCAAAGAUUUAUCGCCUUUGGAUGGGCGCGCGUUGGAUUAGCUAGUUGGUAGGGUAAAAGCCUACCAAGGCGACGAUCCAUAGCUGGUCUGAGAGGAUGAUCAGCCACACUGGGACUGAGACACGGCCCAGACUCCUACGCGAGGGAGCAGUGGGGAAUAUUGGACAAUGGGCGCAAGCCUGAUCCAGCAAUGCGGGGUGAGUGAGGAAGGCCUUAGGGUUGUAAAGCUCUUUUACACGAGGUGAUAAUGACGGUACCGGGAGAAUAAGCUCCGGCUAACUCCGUG
RNAcentral lists this ribosomal RNA (433 nucleotides) under uncultured bacterium. RNAcentral's name for it is "partial 16S ribosomal RNA". It matches the Rfam family "Bacterial small subunit ribosomal RNA", at positions 29 to 507 of the family's 1533-position model. The record is from RNAcentral.